This 292-nucleotide ribosomal RNA is filed under the name uncultured bacterium. Its description in RNAcentral is "partial 16S ribosomal RNA". It matches the Rfam family "Bacterial small subunit ribosomal RNA", at positions 505 to 796 of the family's 1533-position model. The record is from RNAcentral.
GUGUCAGCAGCCGCGGUAAUACGAACCGUCCAAACGUUAUUCGGAAUUACUGGGCUUAAAGGGUUCGUAGGCGGCCUUGUAAGUGGGGUGUGAAAUCCCUCGGCUCAACCGAGGAAUAGCGCUCCAAACUACAAGGCUUGAGGGAGACAGGGGUAAGCGGAACUGAUGGUGGAGCGGUGAAAUGCGUUGAUAUCAUCAGGAACACCGGUGGCGAAAGCGGCUUACUGGGUCUCUUCUGACGCUGAGGAACGAAAGCUAGGGUAGCGAACGGGAUUAGAUACCCUCGUAGUCC